AUCCAAACCCCCCCCCCUCCUCUCCUCCUCCACCCUGCUGAAAAAACCACACUCCACUCCCUUUCAAAAAAAACACCCCCCAAUCACCACUUCGUACCGCUCAAUCAAUUUCCACCUAUUCAGACCUUCUACCACCCCUGCGCCCCCACCCGCCGCAAAACCUGCCGAACAAGACGCCCCACCCACCCACAAGCACACCAUCGAACCUCCAACAAGCUUCAGCGUCCCCGUCAUCGAUCUGAAUACCAAAACCCCAGUAGACACAAUCGAAUUGAACGCCUUCAUCUUCGGCACCCAAGUCAGAAAUGACAUUCUCCACCGAACCGUAGUUUGGCAAAGAGCCAAGUUGCGCGCCGGCACGGCAAAUUGCAAAGGACGCGGCGAAAAAUCUGGCAGCACGCACAAAGUCAGACCGCAAAAGGGCACCGGAAAAGCGCGUAUGAGCACCAUUCGCGCUCCUGGUAGAAGAAAAAGUGGAAAAGCCCACGGACCCCAUCCAAAAGACUGGUCCUUUUCCCUCAACAAAAAAGUCCGCCGCCUUGCUCUCAGAUGCGCCCUAUCCUCUAAAUUCUCCCAAGGAAAUCUCAUGAUCUGCUCUUCGUUCGACUUACCCGACCACAAAACAAAAAUGCUGCGCCAAAUUGCAGAACAUUUCAAUUGGCACCGAGGACACGUGCUGGCCAUAGAAGGCUCCGCUCGUAAAAGCAAAAACUUCGACCUCGCGUCGAGAAACAUGAAAUUCAUUCAAUUCAAACUGAAAAACGGAUUCAGUGUAUAUGAAAUACUCAAACAUAAAUACCUAGUACUCGACCUCAAAGCACUGUCUUAUCUGAAUACUGUAAUAAAAGAAUACUAACCAUAGCGGCGAAAACACGUACCUCGUCGCUACAGAAACUUCGCACCUGUCAACACAUCAAAAAAAAUCCGAUACAACCCUUUUACACUUUUGCCCCAACCGCAUCCUCUCUCGCCAAUGAGCCUGGCGCGCAUCUGGUCCACGCUGUUCCCACGUCGAAUUCGCAUCCGCUCCAAAUAAACAAAACAUACCAAAAAAAAAGCCCCCGCAAACGACUAUGGAUCAAUUCCAAUUCUUCCUGCCUCGACAAGGCACCCUCCUCUCUGCGCAAAUGCGCUCGCGCCAAAUAAUCGCGCCAAAACUCAUCUCAGAACUCACUCAAAAGUCAAACGCACCGAAUUGUAACAGGCGUCUAUGCCAACGCCCAAUGAGAAGAAAUGAAUAAACUGCCAAAAAAAUAAAAAAAAAAAUCUGAAGUUUAUAAAAUUUCAGAUGAAACAUGGAUAAACUACAAGCCAGUUCCGUACAGCCUCUAAAUUUAAACGCCUUCGUAAAUGGCCAGGACGACGAAAGCUUUAAAAAUUACAUAAAUGAUCCGAACAUCCCAAGAGACGCCAAAGUGAUGGCCGCGAUACUCAAAACGAGCGGCGUUUACAACUACGACCCAAAGGUCAUUAACCAGUUGUUAGAGUUCAUGCACCGGUAUCUCACAGAUAUUCUGAUAGACUCGGAUGACUACAGAGAGCAUUCCGGAAAACCAAAUAUUGACAUAGACGACGUGAGACUCGCCAUCCAGACAAGAGUUAGCCAUUCUUUUGUACAGCCACCCCCUAGGCAGGUCAUGUUGGAGAUGGCCAGAAUCAAAAACUCGCAGCCUCUGCCUGCUGUCCCCGUCACGUCGAGACAUUCGUGUGUCAUUUGGCCCAACGAACGCCUAGCCACUCCCAGUUUCCAGGUCGAGCCCCUCAAACGGGAAAGUGCAUCGGCCAAGCCUAGCAGCGACAGCAUGUCGGUCGAUCAGUAAAAAAAAACAGACUGGCUUCUGUCGAAAGACAAAUUGGCGACAGAACGUAAAAAAUGAAAAAAAUCUUUUGUAAUAUGACAAUGCGACAAGUUACGUGUAGUCUGCCGUACAUAAUAGAAACUUUAUUGAUAUACAGCGCAUGCAGAAAAUAGGUGAUGCGACCCACUGUUCCCAGGGGUAGAGAGAAGGGUGAUGUGAAGAAUUCACACACGUCUAAGAUUGGUACAACUCCUCUUUUCUGUCAAAGGGCCAAAAUGCACCUCUUCUACACCUUUUAUGGGUUAGAUCCGGUAGAGACCUUUUCCCUUCCUGCCAACCGAACAAUCAGGAAAAAUACGAGGUAGACGAGUGUGAUGAUCAUAGAUGCAAACCCUAAAUCACCAGCUAAACCCAAACAAAGUAUGGCCAUUCUUGUUAAAAAAUAUAAAUGUCAGCAAAAAAAACUCGGGUAAGCAUAGAAAGGUAGAAUACAGGUUUAUGAUUCGUACAUAGCGUAGAGAAAUGACUUGAAAUAAGUGCUCUGCGGCAUAAUUGAAACGUUGGUCACUAUUCUAGGAUUCAGCUCCCCGACCAUAGUAAAGGCAGACAAAAUACUUUACAUCUAGGUUAGUGCAGAACUUCGACAUGGAAUAAGUCGUAGAGAUGCGUACAUAAGUGCUACUGAAGAGAAAAAGAUAGCAUAUCCUCCAUUCACGUUCAUAGUCGUGCUGCCCUUAACUCCGAGACGGAGGCUAAGAUCUCCUACGUUUGCUCUAACGCAUCCCACUAUGCCAGUACUCAAAUCGAGCAAGCAGAUCAAGAUGCUGAACAUCAAGAGAAUGUUCGCGAGGUUAAUUUCAGCCAUUGUUCUUUCUAGAAUUUACUACCUAAAAGUCUUGUAAAGUUUUUUAUAUAAAACCACAAA
Schistocerca gregaria is the source of this 2724-nucleotide long non-coding RNA. RefSeq lists it as uncharacterized. NCBI's taxonomy places the organism in Eukaryota, Metazoa, Arthropoda, Insecta, Orthoptera, Acrididae. The record is from RefSeq and is a predicted model, not a curated record. The transcript has 7 exons.